This 433-nucleotide ribosomal RNA is filed under the name uncultured bacterium. Its description in RNAcentral is "partial 16S ribosomal RNA". It matches the Rfam family "Bacterial small subunit ribosomal RNA", at positions 29 to 507 of the family's 1533-position model. The record is from RNAcentral.
AACGAACGCUGGCGGCAUGCCUAACACAUGCAAGUCGAACGAGACCUUCGGGUCUAGUGGCGCACGGGUGCGUAACGCGUGGGAACCUGCCCUUAGGUUCGGAAUAACUCCCCGAAAGGGGUGCUAAUACCGGAUAAUGUCUUCGGACCAAAGAUUUAUCACCUUUGGAUGGGCCCGCGUUGGAUUAGCUAGUUGGUAGGGUAAAAGCCUACCAAGGCGACGAUCCAUAGCUGGUCUGAGAGGAUGAUCAGCCACACUGGGACUGAGACACGGCCCAGACUCCUACGGGAGGAAGCAGUGGGGAAUAUUGGACAAUGGGCGAAAGCCUGAGCCAGCAAUGCCGCGUGAGUGAUGAAGGCCUUAGGGUUGUAAAGCUCUUUUAACCGGGAUGAUAAUGACAGUACCGGGAGAAUAAGCUCCGGCUAACUCCGUG